UCGUCAUGAUAUUGAGGCGUCAGUCAUAACUGACGGGGAGUUAAAUUCACCGUACUGCGUACUGGUUGAACUCCUGUAAAAACUCAACAUAGCAUUACCCUGCUACACAAUAUCAGACG
Molecule: non-coding RNA, 119 nt
Organism: Salmonella enterica subsp. enterica serovar Muenchen
Lineage: Bacteria; Pseudomonadati; Pseudomonadota; Gammaproteobacteria; Enterobacterales; Enterobacteriaceae
Source: Rfam